This 255-nucleotide ribosomal RNA is filed under the name uncultured Oscillospiraceae bacterium. RNAcentral describes it as "partial 16S ribosomal RNA". It matches the Rfam family "Bacterial small subunit ribosomal RNA", at positions 796 to 1041 of the family's 1533-position model. Lineage: Bacteria; Bacillati; Bacillota; Clostridia; Eubacteriales; Oscillospiraceae. The record is from RNAcentral.
CACGCCGUAAACGAUGAAUACUAGGUGUAGGAGGUAUCGACUCCUUCUGUGCCGCAGCUAACGCAUUAAGUAUUCCACCUGGGGAGUACGGCCGCAAGGUUAAAACUCAAAGGAAUUGACGGGGGCCCGCACAAGCAGUGGAGUAUGUGGUUUAAUUCGACGCAACGCGAAGAACCUUACCAGGGCUUGACAUCCUCAGACCGCGAUAGAGAUAUCGUUUUUCAUGGAGCAAUCCAUGGACUGAGAGACAGGUGG